Molecule: small RNA, 28 nt
Filed under: Arabidopsis thaliana (thale cress)
Lineage: Eukaryota; Viridiplantae; Streptophyta; Magnoliopsida; Brassicales; Brassicaceae
Description: ATSL065050
Source: RNAcentral
UAAACCUUUUUUCUUCUUCUUCUUCUAU